GAAAAAGCCAGGGAGAAGACAGAUAGCAAGUUGGCAGCUGAACCUUCAGUCCCUCGUGAAGACGGCUUUGAGCAAUUUGGUUGUUUGAGUUGCAUUUCAUUCACAGAGUCACUGGGGAACUUACGCAGCAAAUGAGGAGCGGGGAAUCUGAGGCGGACAGAUAGCAGGGGCUGGCCGGGGUGUCUGGUGGCAGCGAGGGGCUUGAGGAGGGCCUUGGUGGGGUUGCAUCACCGAUGACUAAACAGUCAUUGAGCUCAGGCCUGUGAUAACGUGCCAGGGCUCAGGAUUUCAACAGCAGCCUGAAACCCUGGAGCCACAAACUGGGGCAGGCCUGGUCUCGCUCAGGCUCAGCUUCAAACUUCAACUCAAGAAAAGGGAGAGGCCAACAUCCAAACCUUGCUGCAUUCACUGCCACCCCCUCAAACUCCGAGGCUUCCUGAUAAUUAAUCACACAGUCCCAAUCGCCUGCUCUGCACUCGGUGCCAGGGUCAGCCUCCAUCUGGCCUCCAGUUUAACAUUAGAAAUCAUCACUUUGGGAAAACUGUAAUGAAUCCGCAAAAAAAAAUCUGUUUAAAAAAUGAACAGGGAUGUGUUAUAUAAAUGUGCGUUUUUACAUUCAAGACACAUUCUGCAAGAAUAUUCCAUGCGUUUUAUCCUUCAUUCCACCGGAGUCUGUAUGUGUAUUAAACCAGAUUUCAGUGGUGUGAAGUGUACAAGACAUGGAGAUACUGCUUCACAAGCUAACACUCACGAUACCAGAAGGCAUCCAAUUCAAAAGUCAUAGAAGUAACUCAAUUUUGACGGCAUGUUGAAUGUUGUAAUCUACAUGGACGAUCGAGCUGUUUAUAGGGAACUGGAUAGUGUUUCUUCUGCAACAUGUAGUGCAAACUAUGUUAUGCAUGUAUUUUAAUCAAUAAGAUACUGUACUGAGCAACUCUGUAAUGUGAAUAAAUAUCCUGACCUCGUG
Molecule: long non-coding RNA, 967 nt
Organism: Etheostoma cragini (Arkansas darter)
Lineage: Eukaryota; Metazoa; Chordata; Actinopteri; Perciformes; Percidae
Exons: 2
Source: RefSeq, a predicted model, not a curated record